UCAGUACCCAGGACAGAACUGAGGCCCACUGAAGAAAGGGUGCCCUCCCGGGAGGAGGGAGUACCUGGAGAUUGAGAAGAGAGGCUAGGGAAGAAAGUUUCAGGUUUUACACACAGACUCCUUUGAGCUGGAUCUUAUGAAAUAAAUACACAGAAGAGGUAAAAGGGAUGGAAAAGAAUGCAUUUGCCAGAUCAAAGAUUGCAUACCAUGUACCUGUUCAUCUGCUCUAGCAAUGAUACCACAUCAGGCAAGGCAGCUACAAAAGUCCAAGAAUGCUGAGCUCCUGGCCUCUGAGUGGGGGUCCACCACCUGGAUUGGGAAGUUCUGGAGACUGAAUUUAUGGCACAAAGCACUGACUCCACACUCAGCUCUCAGGGGCAGCAGGUUGGAGCUUCAGAGCGCAGCCCCCACCCGUUCUGCCCAGAAUCCGACACCACCUGCCAAGAUGUGGCCGGAUGGUACACACCAGUCCUGGUACAUGGGGUCACCAUGGUUGGAGACACUUUCCCAAGAAGCUGCCCUGAUCCUAUAACCAGGCCCUUCUCUCUGACAUGAAGAAGCUUACAUGAGGCACAGGGUUUGGUUGGCUGGAGACAUUAUUAUUAUUAUUAUUAUUAUUAUUAUUGUUUAUUUUUGAGAGAGAGAGAGCACGCG
Molecule: long non-coding RNA, 654 nt
Organism: Felis catus (domestic cat)
Lineage: Eukaryota; Metazoa; Chordata; Mammalia; Carnivora; Felidae
Exons: 4
Source: RefSeq, a predicted model, not a curated record